This is a long non-coding RNA of Herpailurus yagouaroundi (jaguarundi), 684 nucleotides long. RefSeq lists it as uncharacterized. The record is from RefSeq and is a predicted model, not a curated record. NCBI's taxonomy places the organism in Eukaryota, Metazoa, Chordata, Mammalia, Carnivora, Felidae. The transcript is spliced from 3 exons.
GAGGCUGGACGUGAUGACAUCCAAGUCCUUGGAGAACCUAAGCUUUCACGUCCAUGGAAAUGAAGAAUGGACAGUUAAGAUUAGAGUAUAAAUUUCAAAACCAUAAAGACUCGAAGACAGUGAAAACCUGAUAUUGGCUUACAUUUGGCCUGCUGACCAAAAUAAAGCUAGUUGGACCCUUGUUGUUUUGGUUCACUGAUUGGUCAGAGGUUCCUGACAGCGCCAAUGGAAGAAACGAGGAUCCCUAGGACUUACACUGGUAGAUUGCAACAAAUAAGCGAACUCUUCAGAAAACGGAUGAGCCACCUAUCUGCUAACCUGUUUGAACAGGAAAUGGAAAGAAAAAACUGAGGUCUUUGACUGGAACCUUUGGCCAACUCUGUGACAAAUGAGAAGCCCUACACUUGUCAGAGGUACCUCAGUUUGCGGAGAGGAUCUAAGGCUACCAUUUGAAUGUUUGUGACUUGAUCUUUCCGAAGGAAUCCCCUAAGAAAUCAACUUCAUUACCAUCAUCAUUCCUGGGGGUGGUUUACCAGAGAUUAGUAGCUUUGGUUUGAUUCUGGCAUUAAAAUGAGUAUUUCCUCUAACUUCUUUACGGUAACGUGAUCUGCACAGUGGUACUGAGAAGGGGAGAGAUGUGAAGAGACACAAUCGUUAUUUAUGACCUCAGUUUUAGGUCAUGGA